CGGAAUUACUGGGCGUAAAGCGCGUGUAGGCUGCUUCGCAAGUCGGAUGUGAAAGCCCUGGGCUCAACCUAGGAAGUGCAUUCGAAACUGCGAAGCUGGAGUCCUGGAGAGGAAGGCGGAAUUCUCGGUGUAGAGGUGAAAUUCGUAGAUAUCGAGAGGAACACCGGUGGCGAAGGCGGCCUUCUGGACAGUGACUGACGCUGAGACGCGAAAGCGUGGGGAGCAAACAGG
This 231-nucleotide ribosomal RNA is filed under the name uncultured bacterium. RNAcentral's name for it is "partial 16S ribosomal RNA". It matches the Rfam family "Bacterial small subunit ribosomal RNA", at positions 546 to 776 of the family's 1533-position model. The record is from RNAcentral.